Molecule: ribosomal RNA, 253 nt
Filed under: uncultured bacterium
Lineage: Bacteria
Description: partial 16S ribosomal RNA
Rfam family: Bacterial small subunit ribosomal RNA
Source: RNAcentral
UACAGAGGUCUCAAGCGUUGUUCGGAUUCAUUGGGCGUAAAGGGUGCGUAGGCGGCGCGGUAAGUCGGGUGUGAAAUCUCGGAGCUCAACUCUGAAACUGCACUCGAUACUGCUUUGCUCGAGGACUGGAGAGGAGAUUGGAAUUCACGGUGUAGCAGUGAAAUGCGUAGAUAUCGUGAGGAAGACCAGUGGCGAAGGCGGAUCUCUGGACAGUUCCUGACGCUGAGGCGCGAAGGCCAGGGGAGCAAACGGG